This 585-nucleotide ribosomal RNA is filed under the name uncultured bacterium. RNAcentral's name for it is "partial 16S ribosomal RNA". It matches the Rfam family "Bacterial small subunit ribosomal RNA", at positions 355 to 1375 of the family's 1533-position model. The record is from RNAcentral.
UGGGGAAUUUUGGACAAUGGGCGAAAGCCUGAUCCAGCAAUGCCGCGUGUGUGAAGAAGGCCUUCGGGUUGUAAAGCACUUUUGUCCGGAAAGAAAUCCUUGGCUCUAAUACAGUCGGGGGAUGACGGUACCGGAAGAAUAAGCACCGGCCAACUACGUGCCAGCAGCCGCGGUAAUACGUAGGGUGCAAGCGUUAAUCGGAAUUACUGGGCGUAAAGCGUGCGCAGGCGGUUUGCUAAGACCGAUGUGAAAUCCCCGGGCUCAACCUGGGAACUGCAUUGGUGACUGGCAGGCUAGAGUAUGGCAGAGGGGGGUAGAAUUCCACGUGUAGCAGUGAAAUGCGUAGAGAUGUGGAGGAAUACCGAUGGCGAAGGCGGCCCCCUGGGCCAAUACUGACGCUCAUGCACGAAAGCGUGGAGAGCAAACAGGAUUAGAUACCCUGGUAGUCCACGCCCUAAACGAUGUCAACUAGUUGUUGGGGAUUCAUUUCCUUAGUAACGUAGCUAACGCGUGAAGUUGACCGCCUGGGGAGUACGGUCGCAAGAUUAAAACUCAAAGGAAUUGACGGGGUCAUAGCUGUUUCCU